This 74-nucleotide transfer RNA is filed under the name Bifidobacterium longum subsp. longum 1-6B. RNAcentral describes it as "tRNA-Thr". It matches the Rfam family "tRNA". From Rfam's summary of the family: Transfer RNA (tRNA) molecules are approximately 80 nucleotides in length. Their secondary structure includes four short double-helical elements and three loops (D, anti-codon, and T loops). Further hydrogen bonds mediate the characteristic L-shaped molecular structure. tRNAs have two regions of fundamental functional importance: the anti-codon, which is responsible for specific mRNA codon recognition, and the 3' end, to which the tRNAs corresponding amino acid is attached (by aminoacyl-tRNA synthetases). tRNAs cope with the degeneracy of the genetic code in two manners: having more than one tRNA (with a specific anti-codon) for a particular amino acid; and 'wobble' base-pairing, i.e. permitting non-standard base-pairing at the 3rd anti-codon position. Lineage: Bacteria; Bacillati; Actinomycetota; Actinomycetes; Bifidobacteriales; Bifidobacteriaceae. The record is from RNAcentral.
GCCGGCUUAGCUCAGUUGGUAGAGCGUCUGAUUUGUAAUCAGAGGGUCGCGUGUUCAAGUCAUGUACGCCGGCA